Molecule: ribosomal RNA, 293 nt
Filed under: uncultured bacterium
Lineage: Bacteria
Description: partial 16S ribosomal RNA
Rfam family: Bacterial small subunit ribosomal RNA
Source: RNAcentral
GGAUUAGAUACCCUGGUAGUCCACGCAGUAAACGAUGAGCACUAGACGUGGGAGAGGUUGACUCUCCGGUGUCGCAGCUAACGCAUUAAGUGCUCCGCCUGGGGAGUACGGCCGCAAGGUUGAAACUCAAAGGAAUUGACGGGGGCCCGCACAAGCGGUGGAGCAUGUGGUUUAAUUCGAUGCAACGCGAAGAACCUUACCUGCCCUUGACAUCCGGGGAACCUUACUGAGAGGUAAGGGUGCCUUCGGGAACUCCGAGACAGGUGCUGCAUGGCUGUCGUCAGCUCGUGCCG